UACAGAGACCUCAAGCGUUAUCCGGAAUCAUUGGGCGUAAAGCGUACCGAUAGGUGGUUUUACAAGUCAGAAGUGAAAUCUUCAAGCUUAACUUGGAGUCUGUCUUUUGAAACUGUAAAACUAGAGGGGCAAAGAGGAAGCUGGAACGAGCGGUGUAGUAGUGAAAUGCGUUGAUAUCGCUCGGAACACCAAUAGCGUAGGCAAGCUUCUGGGUGCCACCUGACACUGCUAGGACGAGAGCGUGGGGAGCGAAUGGG
RNAcentral lists this ribosomal RNA (257 nucleotides) under uncultured bacterium. RNAcentral describes it as "partial 16S ribosomal RNA". It matches the Rfam family "Bacterial small subunit ribosomal RNA", at positions 524 to 776 of the family's 1533-position model. The record is from RNAcentral.